GUGAGUAACGCGUGGGUAACCUACCUUGCACAGGGGGACAACAGUUGGAAACGACUGCUAAUACCGCAUAAGACCACAGUACCGCAUGGUACAGGGGUAAAAACUGAGGUGGUGCAAGAUGGACCCGCGUCUGAUUAGCUAGUUGGUGGGGUAAAGGCCUACCAAGGCGACGAUCAGUAGCCGACCUGAGAGGGUGAUCGGCCACAUUGGGACUGAGACACGGCCCAAACUCCUACGGGAGGCAGCAGUGGGGAAUAUUGGACAAUGGGGGGAACCCUGAUCCAGCGACGCCGCGUGAGUGAAGAAGUAUUUCGGUAUGUAAAGCUCUAUCAGCAGGGAAGAAAAUGACGUACCU
Molecule: ribosomal RNA, 355 nt
Filed under: Lachnospiraceae bacterium oral taxon 096
Lineage: Bacteria; Bacillati; Bacillota; Clostridia; Lachnospirales; Lachnospiraceae
Description: bacterial SSU rRNA
Rfam family: Bacterial small subunit ribosomal RNA
Source: RNAcentral